Molecule: small nucleolar RNA, 114 nt
Filed under: Carlito syrichta (Philippine tarsier)
Lineage: Eukaryota; Metazoa; Chordata; Mammalia; Primates; Tarsiidae
Description: Small nucleolar RNA SNORA5 (ENSTSYG00000022514.2)
Rfam family: Small nucleolar RNA SNORA5
About the family: ACA5 is a member of the H/ACA class of snoRNA that guide the sites of modification of uridines to pseudouridines.
Source: Rfam by way of RNAcentral
UGCCCCACCAGUGAAAGGCACUGGACUAGAAAGAAGGUGACUGCAAAGACACUGUGACUCGCGGACCCUGUUCCUGUGUCCUGGGCUCAGGGAUAAAUUUGGUUACAGACACCA